RNAcentral lists this ribosomal RNA (305 nucleotides) under uncultured bacterium. Its description in RNAcentral is "bacterial SSU rRNA". It matches the Rfam family "Bacterial small subunit ribosomal RNA", at positions 331 to 636 of the family's 1533-position model. The record is from RNAcentral.
CCUAACCUACGGGAGGCAGCAGUGAGGAAUAUUGGUCAAUGGGCGCGAGCCUGAACCAGCCAAGUCGCGUGAGGGAAGACGGUCCUAUGGAUUGUAAACCUCUUUUGUCGGGGAGCAAAAGACGCCACGUGUGGCGUUCCGAGAGUACCCGAAGAAAAAGCAUCGGCUAACUCCGUGCCAGCAGCCGCGGUAAUACGGAGGAUGCGAGCGUUAUCCGGAUUUAUUGGGUUUAAAGGGUGCGCAGGCGGAAGAGCAAGUCAGCGGUAAAAUUGAGAGGCUCAACCUCUUCGAGCCGUUGAAACUGG